GACGAACGCUGGCGGCGUGCUUAACACAUGCAAGUCGAACGGAAAGGCCCUGCUUUUGUGGGGUGCUCGAGUGGCGAACGGGUGAGUAACACGUGAGUAACCUGUCCUUGACUUUGGGAUAACUUCAGGAAACUGGGGAUAAUAUCGGAUAGGAGCUCCUGCUGCAUGGUGGGGGUUGGAAAGUUUCGGCGGUUGGGGAUGGACUCGCGGCUUAUCAGCUUGUUGGUGGGGUAGUGGCUUACCAAGGCUUUGACGGGUAGCCGGCCUGAGAGGGUGACCGGCCACAUUGGGACUGAGAUACGGCCCAGUCUCCUACGGGAGGCAGCAGUGGGGAAUAUUGCACAAUGGGCGGAAGCCUGAUGCAGCAACGCCGCGUGCGGGAUGACGUCCUUCGAGUUGUAAACCGCUUUCGCCUGUGACGAAGCGUGAGUGACGGUAAUGGGUAAAGAAGCACCGGCUAACUACGUG
Molecule: ribosomal RNA, 468 nt
Filed under: uncultured bacterium
Lineage: Bacteria
Description: partial 16S ribosomal RNA
Rfam family: Bacterial small subunit ribosomal RNA
Source: RNAcentral